Molecule: ribosomal RNA, 484 nt
Filed under: uncultured bacterium
Lineage: Bacteria
Description: partial 16S ribosomal RNA
Rfam family: Bacterial small subunit ribosomal RNA
Source: RNAcentral
AUUGAACGCUGGCGGAAUGCUUUACACAUGCAAGUCGAACGAUAACCCUUAGCUUGCUAGGGGGUUUGGUGGCGGACGGGUGAGUGAUAUAUCGGAACAUGCCUUGCUAUUUUGGCUAACUAGUCGACAGAGUAGCUAAUACCGUAUUCGCGCUUACGGGGAACGGGUGGGAUCUUCGGACCUUCCGUUAUUAGACCGGCCGAUAUCGGAUUAGCUAGUUGGUGGGGUAAAGGCCUACCAAGGCGACGAUCCGUAGCUGGUCUGAGAGGACGACCAGCCACACUGGAACUGAGACACGGUCCAGACUCCUACGGGAGGCAGCAGUGGGGAAUAUUGGACAAUGGGCGCAAGCCUGAUCCAGCCAUACCGCGUGAGUGAAGAAGGCCUUCGGGUUGUAAAGCUCUUUUGUAAGGGAAGAAAACCUGCCGGUGAAUACAUGGCGAGGCUGACGGUACCUAGAGAAGAAGCACCGGCUAACUACGUG